GUAUCUGAGGAGCGUUGCGACGGGAACAACCCGCCAGGCUCAGAUAGUGGUUGCACAUACCCGCUCAGUCAUU
RNAcentral lists this non-coding RNA (73 nucleotides) under Thiothrix lacustris. RNAcentral describes it as "SAH sequence". It matches the Rfam family "SAH (S-adenosyl-L-homocysteine) riboswitch aptamer". Lineage: Bacteria; Pseudomonadati; Pseudomonadota; Gammaproteobacteria; Thiotrichales; Thiotrichaceae. The record is from RNAcentral.